CCUACGGGCGGCAGCAGUGAGGAAUAUUGGUCAAUGGCCGGAAGGCUGAACCAGCCAUGCCGCGUGAAGGUCAGUGCCCUAUGGGCGUUAAACUUCUUUUGUGCGGGAGCAAUAAUGGUCACGUGUGGCCAGACGAGAGUACCGUACGAAUAAGCAUCGGCUAACUCCGUGCCAGCAGCCGCGGUAAUACGGGGGAUGCAAGCGUUAUCCGGAUUUAUUGGGUUUAAAGGGUGCGUAGGCUGUGAGGUAAGUCAGCGGUGAAAUGCCCCCGCUCAACGGGGUGAAGUGCCAUUGAUACUGCCUGGCUGGAAUGCGGAUGCGGUGGGAGGAAUGUGUGGUGUAGCGGUGAAAUGCAUAGAUAUCACACAGAACACCGAUUGCGAAGGCAUCUCACGAAUCCGCGAUUGACGCUGAUGCACGAAAGCGUGGGUAUCAAACAGGAUUAGAUACCCGUGUAGUC
This 460-nucleotide ribosomal RNA is filed under the name uncultured bacterium. RNAcentral's name for it is "partial 16S ribosomal RNA". It matches the Rfam family "Bacterial small subunit ribosomal RNA", at positions 338 to 795 of the family's 1533-position model. The record is from RNAcentral.